Molecule: long non-coding RNA, 2083 nt
Organism: Astatotilapia calliptera (eastern happy)
Lineage: Eukaryota; Metazoa; Chordata; Actinopteri; Cichliformes; Cichlidae
Source: Ensembl
GUGAACCUCUUUUUCCUUCUUCCCCCCCAUAAAACAGCAGGCCGGCCUCGGUCUGAGAGCCAGACAGGGGUGUGUAUAGGAAUAAAAGCUGCAGCUAGCCCUCCUAGCAACCUUUCAAUGAAACGUCAGUCCACAGCCGGGGCGGCACAAAGAAGAGAAAACCUGAGCAGGAGCCGAAACGGAGCAGCUUCAUCACCCUUUCUUCUACUCACCAUAACCUCCGCAGCUCGUCCUCACAGCCAGCCCGUGUCUCCCCGGGACAAGAAUGGGAUCGUCGUGCGCAGGCGCAGUAGAUGCAGGGAUGAUGUUGGCACUUGGAAGUCUGUCGCAUGGCAAUGCUGAAAAAAACAAAAAUCCCCGACGGUGUGCAACACAUAACACAACCUCUGGCGACAUCUGGUGGACACACGGUGGCUUCACAAACGCGCAUUGUCUUUCAGCAAAUCAAAGUUCACAGUGAUGGAUGUUGGACUGAUACGAAGCAGAUGCUCACAGUUGGUUUCAAAGGUUUCAGUCGUCAGUUUAAAGGUCUGCUGUUCUGGUUCUUGGUGCCAGUUUCAUCAGAAACAAAUGGAACCAGAGGGGCACCGCUGGUCCUUCAGUGCCAUCACAACCUCAGCGAAAAGUUCAUUCCUGAGCAAACCUCCAUAUACUGGCAAAGUAAUUCCAGCGUUCUUCAUGUUUUUUCAAAAGGACAAGAGGAAUUUCAACACCAAAGUGAGUCAUUUAAAAACAGGACUGCAAUUUUCCGCGAUCAACUGGCCUCUGGCAACUUCUCCCUUGUCAUCAAUCCGCUGAUGCUGAAAGACGAUCAGCUCAGCAUCGAAGUUGCUUACAUACCAGAAAGCAGGACGCUCUGCCAAACCACUGUUCAUGUAGCAGCUCGUUUUGAGAUGCCAAAUAUCGUGGUCAACACCAUAGAUAUGAUGGCUAUGUGUGCAACAAAGGGGGGCUUUCCUGAACCAGAGCUAUCAUGGAUCUCCGUGGACCACGAGGGACAUGAACGUACACUUGAACCACCUGAUGUCCAGACCCUUGAGAUCUACAAGGAAGAUGACGGCACCUACAGAGUUACCAGUACUGCCAACAUCAGAGGAUCACAGAAAGUUACAUGCAGCGUUUACAACCCAACUUCAAAGGAGACAUUGAGUGUAAUUAAAGACGUAAUUACAGAUGAAGGCUGGAGUCUGCCUUUGGGAGCUGUUCUUGGAGUACCGGUAAUACUUGCAGUAAUACUCGGAGCAGGAGCCACCAUUGGCUGCCGAAAAAGGAAAAGGAGAGACUAUUCAGGACAAAGCCUACAACAACUGAGCGCCAAUGAACCUGCACCAUUGGAAGACAGCACUCCUGAUCCUGCAGCUGUUGUAGUUGAUGAUGUAGCUAAAUAAAGGGAAAACACUAAAUAGAAGACAUAGCAGGAACUCAUGUUUCUGAAAUAAAGACCUCAUCUAUGGAGGACCACAGAGCCACACACACCGAAAAAUAGUGUUUUUAUUUUAAAUUCAAUUAUUAAAUAAUAAAUAACUUUAUUAACGUUUGAAUAAGUAAAAUAAUAAAUAAAUGAAUCUGUAAAUGAAUUUACAAAUGCAUAACUUAUUGUACAAUUCAUUAUUUAAGCAAAAAAAGUCCUUACUUGAUGCACGUGGCUCUUGUGGUGCUCCAUAUGUUAGCAUGUUACCUUCAACAGGUGGUUAUAGGCUGAGUCUACAGGCGCACACUCGGAGGAUCAACUCUACAUUUCACUGCAGGGCCCCUUCAUUUUUCACAAUCGGUGUCGGGCAGAAUGUAAAUACAUAGGCUGAAAUCUAAAUUUUACAUUUGAUGUUUACAUCUAAAUUAUUUAGCUGUAACAAAACAGGAAUAAAAUGUAGGACACGGAAACUAAAGUUCAAAAUUUGAAGAAAUAGAUCACACGCAGUUUACUGAUGGAUCGAGAUAUUAGUUACCCAGAUAGCAUCAGACCCCAAGGUGGAUCUGCCCUGAAUACAGUGUAUUAAAUAAAAACUGUUUUUGUAGCAGUUUAUGAACAUUACGUUGUUUUAAUGAGUAUUUAGUAAAAUUUAAAUGUCUCAAUUAAAUGUUA